RNAcentral lists this ribosomal RNA (460 nucleotides) under uncultured bacterium. RNAcentral describes it as "partial 16S ribosomal RNA". It matches the Rfam family "Bacterial small subunit ribosomal RNA", at positions 338 to 795 of the family's 1533-position model. The record is from RNAcentral.
CCUACGGGAGGCAGCAGUGAGGAAUAUUGGUCAAUGGACGAGAGUCUGAACCAGCCAAGUAGCGUGAAGGAUGACUGCCCUCUGGGUUGUAAACUUCUUUUAUAUGGGAAUAAAAUGUUCCACGUGUGGGAUUUUGUAUGUACCAUAUGAAUACGGAUCGGCUAACUCAGUGCCAGCAGACGCGGUAAUACGGAGGAUCCGAGCGUUGUCCGGAUUUAUUUGGUUUAAAGGGAGCGUAUGUGGAUUGUUAAGUCAGUUGUGAAAGUUUGCGGCUCAACCGUAGAAUUGCAGUUGAAACUGGCAGUCUUGAGUACAGUAGAGGUGGGCGGAAUUCGUGGUGUAGCGGUGAAAUGCUUAGAUAUCACGAAGAACUCCGAUUGCGAAGGCAGCUCACUUGACUGCAACUGACACUGAGGCUCGAAAGUGUGGGUAUCAAACAGGAUUAGAUACCCUUGUAGUC